Quercus robur (English oak) is the source of this 82-nucleotide small nucleolar RNA. RefSeq annotates it as small nucleolar RNA R38. NCBI's taxonomy places the organism in Eukaryota, Viridiplantae, Streptophyta, Magnoliopsida, Fagales, Fagaceae. The transcript has a single exon. The record is from RefSeq and is a predicted model, not a curated record.
UGUUGUGAAUGAUGAGAACAAUAAUUAUACAGUUAUCCCUGUCUGAUGCAUUGGUGCUGAGAUUUUGUAAUCUGACACUCAC